RNAcentral lists this ribosomal RNA (843 nucleotides) under uncultured bacterium. Its description in RNAcentral is "bacterial SSU rRNA". It matches the Rfam family "Bacterial small subunit ribosomal RNA", at positions 51 to 893 of the family's 1533-position model. The record is from RNAcentral.
ACACAUGCAAGUCGAACGAGAAUCUACUGAAAGAGUUUUCGGACAAUGGAUGUAGAGGAAAGUGGCGGACGGGUGAGUAACGCGUGAGGAACCUGCCUUGAAGAGGGGGACAACAGUUGGAAACGACUGCUAAUACCGCAUGACGCAUAGAGGUCGCAUGAUCUUUAUGCCAAAGAUUUAUCGCUUCAAGAUGGCCUCGCGUCUGAUUAGCUAGUUGGCGGGGUAACGGCCCACCAAGGCGACGAUCAGUAGCCGGACUGAGAGGUUGAACGGCCACAUUGGGACUGAGAUACGGCCCAGACUCCUACGGGAGGCAGCAGUGGGGAAUAUUGGGCAAUGGGCGCAAGCCUGACCCAGCAACGCCGCGUGAAGGAAGAAGGCUUUCGGGUUGUAAACUUCUUUUAAGAGGGAAGAGCAGAAGACGGUACCUCUAGAAUAAGCCACGGCUAACUACGUGCCAGCAGCCGCGGUAAUACGUAGGUGGCAAGCGUUGUCCGGAUUUACUGGGUGUAAAGGGCGUGCAGCCGGGUCUGCAAGUCAGAUGUGAAAUCCAUGGGCUCAACCCAUGAACUGCAUUUGAAACUGUAGAUCUUGAGUGUCGGAGGGGCAAUCGGAAUUCCUAGUGUAGCGGUGAAAUGCGUAGAUAUUAGGAGGAACACCAGUGGCGAAGGCGGAUUGCUGGACGAUAACUGACGGUGAGGCGCGAAAGUGUGGGGAGCAAACAGGAUUAGAUACCCUGGUAGUCCACACUGUAAACGAUGAAUACUAGGUGUGCGGGGACUGACCCCCUGCGUGCCGCAGUAAACACAAUAAGUAUUCCACCUGGGGAGUACGAUCGCAAGG